AUUUAAUCACAACAUCUUAGCCUUCAUACUGGAUCAAAAGAUUGUUGCUGCAUCUUAUUCAGAGCUGAUACUGUCUCUUGGUUAUGUCGUACUACUCUUUAAAGGGACAAUAUGUAGUUUUGGUGAAGAAUAUAAAUGAGGUAAUAAUAAAAACUCAACAUUUUUUGUUGUUGUUGCCACAACUGAAUAAACAAGCUGUUCUCAGAGAAAACAAGUUCCCCAGAACACUGUUUGAAGACUAGAAAGGUUGCAGGGUCCGCCACAUAUAAACACAGAAAAACAGUAUGAAAAUGUGUUGUCCUUUGAGGUCAGUUUGUUUUAUUAUUAUUUUUUAAAUGUAUUUAUUUAGUGAUGAAAAUGAGGAGAGUUUAUUUUAGUUUGUUUAGGCAUGAAAAAAAAAUCUGAUCUUUCUAUUCUGAUUAAAAUGUCUUCCCAAAACUACACAGUGAACCUUUUAAGACUCUAAACAGCUAGCUUGUUAAUGUUUGUGAUGAUUUUCAACCAAAGAUAUUGUGUUCUGUUCCGUAUUUAAUUCCAUUCCUUAAAGCACAUCCUGCAUCUUACAUCUGUAACCUGUAUAAAAUGAGCCGCUGUUCACCUGCGAGAGCAAUGAUUGUUCAUUUCCCUUUAAAAUGUAUCAAAUAUAAUACGUUUCAAAUGACAAAAUGUCUGUGACUGGCUGUGUGCUGACAUAUAAAAUCACUUCCUGUCAUCGCAAUUGAGAAUGUCAAGUCAUCUCACUUGCGAUCUAUGGCUUUGACUUUCCAUGCCCAGCAUGCCUGAUUAUAUUCCGUAAAUCUUUUGUUUUCUUGAAGGUCACCGUAUCGACUGUACGCCUCAAGGCACGCUUGAUACAGCCAACCUCCCACCGGCUGAGUGAUACCGAUUGAUCGUUUAAUUGAUAUAUUCAUGCUGAUAGAAGCCCACAAGAGUCCUGAUUCCUACAAGACAAAGUUUUUGGAAAAAAAAUAUGCCGCAAAGCCCAGUGAUUGGAGUGCAUCCAGAAGGUCUCCAAUCCACAGAAGAGAGUCAGCUGGUCAGCUGAGGAAUGAGAAGCCAAAUUGGAAAUGAAAGGGCAGAGGGUGCCAUCUAGUGGCUGUAGACGUUAAUAAAUUCUCAUUACCAGGGCCUGCACUGUGCUGUUUGACAUUAAUGAAUAGUUCCAUUUGGUGCUGCUGCAUGAAGGAAAUGAUCAUUACCCUGUGUGUGUGUGCACUUGUUAGAGUGUGUGUGUGUUUGUACAAGGUGGCAAGGAUGAGGAGAAUUUGUUAGUGCGUGCGUGCCUGUGUGUGUGUGUGUGUGUGUGUGUGUGCAAAGUCAUCCUGCAGUCAUCUGCUCCUGCUUUUAAAGCUUUUAAAAUACGUCUUUGUAGGAAAUGAUUUCUGAAUGAUAAAGGGCCUUAAUG
This 1405-nucleotide long non-coding RNA is filed under the name Sparus aurata (gilthead seabream). Its description in RNAcentral is "lncRNA (ENSSAUG00010018011.1)". The record is from RNAcentral. Lineage: Eukaryota; Metazoa; Chordata; Actinopteri; Spariformes; Sparidae.